Molecule: long non-coding RNA, 220 nt
Filed under: Elaeis guineensis (African oil palm)
Lineage: Eukaryota; Viridiplantae; Streptophyta; Magnoliopsida; Arecales; Arecaceae
Description: long non-coding RNA (EGUI_LNC042092)
Source: RNAcentral
GGUGCCUCUACAAUGGAUUCUGGGUUUGAUUUAAUCAAAUUCGAUUUUAUGGGUUCACUAGAUUAUGUCGGUUCUUUUACUUGUUGAACUUUAUAAGUUUCAUAUUAAAGGUAUCAGUUCCUUCAUCAAAGUACUCCUUUUCUAAAAGGAAUGCCAAACAACUCUUAUUCUUUAGCAUGAUAGAACUUAUAUCCCCUAUAUUCUUUGUAGUUAUCCUACA